ACCUGGGCUCAAGCAAUCCUCCUGCUGACGUCAGCCUUCUGGGUAGCUGGGACUACAGUUUGCUGAGAAUGAUGGUUUCCAGCUUCAUCCGUGUCCCUGCAAAGUGAUCUAAACUUGAAGACCUCGGAAACAAGGAAGAAUUGAAGAAUUGAAAAGCUCAUAUUUCAGCUGAAGAAUAACUAAAUGAAACAUCACCCCAAAUGAUUUCUGAUUAUAAGACAAUAUUCGAAAUAAGGAAAACAAUACAACCUAUGUAAGGAACUAGCUGCAUGGAGCUUGCAGUGAGCCAAGACCACACCACUGCACUCCAGCCUGGGCAACAGAGCAAGACUCUGUCUCAAAAAAAAAAAAAAAGGAACUAGCCACAUCACCUCCUCAGCCACUCUUGGCCCUGAUUCUGGCCAUGGAGUGGGCAAUGGUGACUGAUUGGACAAGACGCUUCCAUACCCCCUUCCUCCUGAAAGCUAUCCUCCCACCUUGGCCUCUCAAAGUAUGGGGAUUACAAAUGUAAGCCACCACCCCUGACCUGUCUUUUUAAUGCCUAGAAACCACUGUGACAAAUGGGACUGUCUUUUGUUGGCCCUCAGACUGCUGGAAUCUGGAGUGCCGAGGAAAGGAAGCUAUGAAAGCUUCUCAACAACGGAGAGGAGGAAGGCAAUGAGCAGAGGAAAAUGGAGUCACAGCACCCUGACACCUAAGAUCUGCCUAGCCUCAAAUAUAUGUUCUCCUUUUGAGGCAGAAAAAUAGGAUCUGGAGACAGGAAACAUAAGGCCAAUUCACACUUCAGCUAUGACAGGAAAUUUCCUCUCCAUAGGCCGUAUGCCG
RNAcentral lists this long non-coding RNA (825 nucleotides) under Homo sapiens (human). RNAcentral describes it as "novel transcript". Lineage: Eukaryota; Metazoa; Chordata; Mammalia; Primates; Hominidae. The record is from RNAcentral.